This 197-nucleotide ribosomal RNA is filed under the name uncultured bacterium. RNAcentral describes it as "partial 16S ribosomal RNA". It matches the Rfam family "Bacterial small subunit ribosomal RNA", at positions 328 to 539 of the family's 1533-position model. The record is from RNAcentral.
ACGCUCGACACCUACGGAGGCAGCAGUGGGGAAUAUUGCACAAUGGGGGAAACCCUGAUGCAGCGACGCCGCGUGAGCGAAGAAGUAUCUCGGUAUGUAAAGCUCUAUCAGCAGGGAAGAAAAUGACGGUACCUGACUAAGAAGCCCCGGCUAAUUACGUGUCAGCAGCCGCGGUAAUCUGAGCGGGCUGGCAAGGC